Molecule: non-coding RNA, 86 nt
Organism: Schizophyllum amplum
Lineage: Eukaryota; Fungi; Basidiomycota; Agaricomycetes; Agaricales; Schizophyllaceae
Source: the annotation of a GenBank genome assembly
UCCCUGCUAGCUCAGUGGUAGAGCGCCUCACUAGUAUCUCACCAGACGCUAUGAGGAGGUCAGUCGUUCAAGUCGGCUGUGGGGAA